This 265-nucleotide ribosomal RNA is filed under the name uncultured bacterium. RNAcentral describes it as "partial 16S ribosomal RNA". It matches the Rfam family "Bacterial small subunit ribosomal RNA", at positions 28 to 280 of the family's 1533-position model. The record is from RNAcentral.
GACGAACGCUGGCGGCGUGCUUAACACAUGCAAGUCGAGCGGUAAGGCCCUUUCGGGGUACGACGAGCGGCGAACGGGUAGGAGUAACACGUGGGUGGACCUCGCCCUCCAGCUCUGGGAGUAAGCCUCGGGAAACGUAGGGUCGUAAUAACUGGAUAUGACUCCACGGUGCAUGUCGUGGGGUGGAAAGACCUUGUGCGGCUGAGGAUGGGCCCGGCCGGCCUAUCAGCUUGUUGGUGGGGUGAUGGCCUACCAAGGCGACGAC